Triticum aestivum (bread wheat) is the source of this 536-nucleotide long non-coding RNA. RefSeq lists it as uncharacterized. The record is from RefSeq and is a predicted model, not a curated record. Lineage: Eukaryota; Viridiplantae; Streptophyta; Magnoliopsida; Poales; Poaceae. The transcript is spliced from 2 exons.
CCGAAUUUUCUGGGACGCCCCACCUUUUCUCUUGCCAUUUAUAUAUUUCAGUCUUGUAUACACGCUGACUCUGGAUAAGGCAAUACGGUUAGAUCUCUCUCUCUCUCUAAAUCCGCGUGAGAAGAAUUGGAUCUGCAAAAAGGAAGGUACACGGCAUCACAUCGGUGGUUCCAUGCAUGCGGAUGGCUGAAGAAGUGAAGAGGAGUAUCAGCAGGGAGGCGGCCAGAACGAUGAUUCCAUCUGCAAAGGCUGACCCAACAUGGACUUGAUGCGUGACUAUGGUUAGCGGCUGCGGCGAGAGUGGCAAUCCGGCACCUACGCAUGUGUGGUGAAGACAUGCUCCGACGGCAAUAUCCGCCAUAAUUUCAUGCAAAUCUCGUUGGCAUUGGCACAUCUGUGCCAUGCUCUUGAGUCCGUAAAUUCAUCUAUGAACUGUAUAAUAGUACAAUUUGUAACCAAAUUUGUAACCAUCACGUGUGACAUGUAUAUGUACAUUAUUUUCCGUAUGCCCUCCAAACCACAUUUUGUAGAUACUC